GAAGCUGAGAAUUUAAGCCCCAGUAAACGGCGGUGGUAACUAUAACCAUCCUAAGGUAGCGAAAUUCCUUGUCGGGUAAGUUCCGACCUGCACGAAUGGAGUAACGACUUCCCUACUGUCUCAACCAUGAACUCGGCGAAAUUGCAGUACGAGUAAAGAUGCUCGUUUCGCGCAGCAGGACGGAAAGACCCCGUGACCUUUACUAUAGUUUGGUAUUGGUGUUUGGUUUGGCUUGUGUAGGAUAGGUGGGAGACUGUGAAGCAUGGACGCUAGUUUGUGUGGAGUCGUUGUUGAAAUACCACUCUGGUCAAUCUGGAUGUCUAACUUCGGGCCAUGAUCUGGUUCAGGGACAGUGCCUGAUGGGUAGUUUAACUGGGGCGGUUGCCUCCUAAAGUGUAACGGAGGCGCCCAAAGGUUCCCUCAGCCUGGUUGGCAAUCAGGUGUUGAGUGUAAGUGCACAAGGGAGCUUGACUGUGAGACUGGCAGGUCGAGCAGGGACGAAAGUCGGGACUAGUGAUCCGGCGGUACGUUGUGGAACGGCCGUCGCUCAACGGAUAAAAGGUACCUCGGGGAUAACAGGCUGAUCUUGCCCAAGAGUCCAUAUCGACGGCAUGGUUUGGCACCUCGAUGUCGGCUCGUCGCAUCCUGGGGCUGGAGUCGGUCCCAAGGGUUGGGCUGUUCGCCCAUUAAAGCGGUACGCGAGCUGGGUUCAGAACGUCGUGAGACAGUUCGGUCCCUAUCCGCUGCGCGCGUUGGAAAUUUGAGAAAGGCUGUCCUUAGUACGAGAGGACCGGGACGGACGAACCUCUGGUAUGUCAGUUGUACCGCCAGGUGCAUGGCUGAUUGGCUACGUUCGGGAGGGAUAACCGCUGAAAGCAUCUAAGCGGGAAGCCUGUUUCGAGAUGAGAUUUCCUGGCACUUUUUGGUGUGUGAGGCUCCUUAUAGAUGAUGAGGUUGAUAGGCCGGGUAUGGAAGCGAGGACUGAAGACUCGUGGAGUUGACUGGUACUAAUAGGCUGAAGGCUUACUUUU
RNAcentral lists this ribosomal RNA (1031 nucleotides) under Varibaculum cambriense. RNAcentral describes it as "partial 23S ribosomal RNA". It matches the Rfam family "Bacterial large subunit ribosomal RNA", at positions 1901 to 2925 of the family's 2925-position model. Lineage: Bacteria; Bacillati; Actinomycetota; Actinomycetes; Actinomycetales; Actinomycetaceae. The record is from RNAcentral.